This 184-nucleotide ribosomal RNA is filed under the name uncultured prokaryote. RNAcentral describes it as "partial 16S ribosomal RNA". It matches the Rfam family "Bacterial small subunit ribosomal RNA", at positions 89 to 266 of the family's 1533-position model. The record is from RNAcentral.
AUUUUAGCGGCGGACGGGUGAGUAACGUGUGGGUAACCUGCCUUAUACUGUGGAAUAAUCAGUGAGAAAUGCGUGACUAAUACCGCAUGUCAUCCUUUUAUCGCAUGAUGAGAGGAGAAAAGGAUUUAUUCGGUNGAGUAAGAUGGACCCGCAUCUGAUUAGCUAGUUGGUGAGAUAAUAGCUC